UCUCCGUAGGUGAACCUGCGGAGGGAUCAUUACAGAGUUCAUGCCCUACCGGGUAGAUCUCCCACCCCAUGUUAUUAUUACUUCGUGGCUUUUGCUGGCCGCUGGGCUCCAGCCCGACCACCGGUGCCGGCCGGUAAACGCCCGCCAGAAGACCCAAAACCUUGACUAUUAGUGGCGUCUGCGUACUAUAAAAUAGUUAAAACUUUCAACAACGGAUCUCUUGGUUCUG
This 229-nucleotide unclassified non-coding RNA is filed under the name plant metagenome. RNAcentral's name for it is "partial contains small subunit ribosomal RNA, internal transcribed spacer 1, and 5.8S ribosomal RNA". The record is from RNAcentral.